Molecule: ribosomal RNA, 252 nt
Filed under: uncultured bacterium
Lineage: Bacteria
Description: partial 16S ribosomal RNA
Rfam family: Bacterial small subunit ribosomal RNA
Source: RNAcentral
UACGGAGGAUGCGAGCGUUAUCCGGAUUUAUUGGGUUUAAAGGGUGCGUAGGCGGACGCUUAAGUCAGCGGUAAAAUUGCGGGGCUCAACCUCGUCGAGCCGUUGAAACUGGGUGCCUUGAAUGGGCGAGAAGUACGCGGAAUGCGUGGUGUAGCGGUGAAAUGCAUAGAUAUCACGCAGGACUCCGAUUGCGAAGGCAGCGUACCGGCGCCCAACUGACGCUGAAGCACGAAGGCGUGGGUAUCGAACAGG